AGAUUGAACGCUGGCGGCAUGCCUUACACAUGCAAGUCGAACGGUAACGCGGGGCAACCUGGCGACGAGUGGCGAACGGGUGAGUAAAGCAUCGGAACGUGCCCAGUAGUGGGGGAUAGCCCGGCGAAAGCCGGAUUAAUACCGCAUACGACCUACGGGUGAAAGGGGGGAUCGCAAGACCUCUCGCUAUUGGAGCGGCCGAUGUCAGAUUAGGUAGUUGGUGGGGUAAAGGCUCACCAAGCCGACGAUCUGUAGCUGGUCUGAGAGGACGACCAGCCACACUGGGACUGAGACACGGCCCAGACUCCUACGGGAGGCAGCAGUGGGAAUUUGGACAAUGGGCGCAAGCCUGAUCCGAGCCAUGCCGCGUGCGGAAGAAGGCCUUCGGGUUGUAACCGUCUUUGUCAGGAAGAAAGCGUCUGGUUAAUACCGUAGGUAAGUGAACGUACGUAGAAGAAUAAGACACGUAGUACGUAAC
This 478-nucleotide ribosomal RNA is filed under the name uncultured soil bacterium. Its description in RNAcentral is "bacterial SSU rRNA". It matches the Rfam family "Bacterial small subunit ribosomal RNA", at positions 26 to 509 of the family's 1533-position model. The record is from RNAcentral.